AUCCUGGCUCAGAUUGAACGCUGGCGGCAUGCCUUACACAUGCAAGUCGAACGGCAGCACGGGAGCAAUCCUGGUGGCGAGUGGCGAACGGGUGAGUAAUAUAUCGGAACGUGCCCAGUCGUGGGGGAUAACGUAGCGAAAGCUACGCUAAUACCGCAUACGAUCUAUGGAUGAAAGCGGGGGAUCGCAAGACCCCGCGCGAUUGGAGCGGCCGAUAUCAGAUUAGGUAGUUGGUGAGGUAAAGGCUCACCAAGCCGACGAUCUGUAGCUGGUCUGAGAGGACGACCAGCCACACUGGGACUGAGACACGGCCCAGACUCCUACGGGAGGCAGCAGUGGGGGAAUUUUGGACAAUGGGCGCAAGCCUGAUCCAGCAAUGCCGCGUGAGUGAUGAAGGCCUUCGGGUUGUAAAGCUCUUUUACUCGGGACGAUAAUGACGGUACCGAGAGAAUAAGCCCCGGCUAACUCCGUG
Molecule: ribosomal RNA, 472 nt
Filed under: uncultured bacterium
Lineage: Bacteria
Description: bacterial SSU rRNA
Rfam family: Bacterial small subunit ribosomal RNA
Source: RNAcentral